AUCCCAUGGUGAGGGCAUUUGCGUAGUAAGUUUUUAAAUAUUUCCCAUGCUUCGUAUAUAGAUUCAUCAUCUAUUUUCUAAAAAGUAGUGAUCUCAUUCCACAACUU
This is a non-coding RNA of Gossypium hirsutum (cotton), 107 nucleotides long. Lineage: Eukaryota; Viridiplantae; Streptophyta; Magnoliopsida; Malvales; Malvaceae. The record is from Rfam.